This 81-nucleotide antisense RNA is filed under the name Lonsdalea quercina. RNAcentral's name for it is "antisense RNA of dnaA mRNA". It matches the Rfam family "antisense RNA of dnaA mRNA". The record is from Rfam by way of RNAcentral. Lineage: Bacteria; Pseudomonadati; Pseudomonadota; Gammaproteobacteria; Enterobacterales; Pectobacteriaceae.
UUUAGCAUUGGCUUUGCGAGCCAUGAUGCCGUUCCCUACUGCAUGUAAUAAGUGCGUUUUACCUAAACCGGUGCCGCCAUA